RNAcentral lists this ribosomal RNA (907 nucleotides) under uncultured archaeon. RNAcentral's name for it is "bacterial SSU rRNA". It matches the Rfam family "Archaeal small subunit ribosomal RNA", at positions 1 to 918 of the family's 1478-position model. The record is from RNAcentral.
UUCCGGUUGAUCCUGCCGGAAGUCACUGCUAUUGGGAUUCGACUAAGCCAUGCGAGUCGAGAGGGUUCGGCCCUCGGCUGACGGCUCAGUAACACGUGGAUAAUCUGCCCUUAGGUGGAGGAUACCCUCGGGAAACUGAGAAUAAUACUCCAUAGGUCUAGGAUGCUGGAAUGCAUCUAGACUCAAAGCUCCGGCGCCUAAGGAUGAGUCUGCGGACUAUCAGGUUGUAGUCAGGGUAAAGACCUGACUAGCCUACGACGGAUACGGGUUGUGAGAGCAAUAACCCGGAGAUGAUAUCUGAGACACGAUAUCAGGCCCUACGGGGCGCAGCAGGCGCGAAAACUUCACACUGUGCGAAAGCACGAUGAGGGAAUCCCAAGUGCUUGCACGUAAGUGUAAGCUGUUUCUUUGUUUAAAACGCAUUGAGAGUAAGAGCUGGGCAAGACGGGUGCCAGCCGCCGCGGUAAUACCUGCAGCUCGAGUGGUGGCCGCUAUUAUUGGGCCUAAAACGACCGUAGCCGGUUUAGUAAAUGCCUGGGUAAAUCGUGUAGCUUAACUAUACGAAUUCCGGGUAGACUGCUAAACUUGAGACCGGGAGAAGUUAGAGGUACUCCUGGGGUAGAGGUGAAAUUCUGUAAUCCUAGGGGGACCACCAGUGGCGAAGGCGUCUGACUAGAACGGGUCUGACGGUGAGGGACGAAGCCCUGGGGCGCAAACCGGAUUAGAUACCCGGGUAGUCCAGGGUGUAAACGCUGCUUGCUUGAUGUUGGUUGGGCUCCGAGCCCAAUCAGUGUCGGAGAGAAGUUGUUAAGCAAGCUGCCUGGGAAGUACGGCCGCAAGACUGAAACUUAAAGGAAUUGGCGGGGGAGCACAGCACGGGGUGAGCGUGCGUUUAAUGGAAUCACGC